UAAUUCAUUAACUUCCAAGGC
Non-coding RNA from Caenorhabditis elegans, 21 nucleotides. The record is from Ensembl. Lineage: Eukaryota; Metazoa; Nematoda; Chromadorea; Rhabditida; Rhabditidae.